GACGAACGCUGGCGGCGUGCUUAACACAUGCAAGUCGAACGGAAAGGCCCUGCUUUUGUGGGGUGCUCGAGUGGCGAACGGGUGAUUAACACGUGAGUAACCUGCCCUUGACUUUGGGAUAACUUCAGGAAACUGGGGCUAAUACCGGAUAGGAGCUCCUGCUGCAUGGUGGGGGUUGGAAAGUUUCGGCGGUUGGGGAUGGACUCGCGGCUUAUCAGCUUGUUGGUGGGGUAGUGGCUUACCAAGGCUUUGACGGGUAGCCGGCCUGAGAGGGUGACCGGCGACAUUGGGACUGAGAUACGGCCCAGACUCCUACGGGAGGCAGCAGUGGGGAAUAUUGCACAAUGGGCGGAAGCCUGAUGCAGCAACGCCGCGUGCGGGAUGACGGCCUUCGGGUUGUAAACCGCUUUCGCCUGUGACGAAGCGUGAGUGACGGUAAUGGGUAAAGAAGCACCGGCUAACUACGUG
Molecule: ribosomal RNA, 468 nt
Filed under: uncultured bacterium
Lineage: Bacteria
Description: partial 16S ribosomal RNA
Rfam family: Bacterial small subunit ribosomal RNA
Source: RNAcentral